GUGCUCCCUGUGGCAGCACAUAUCUAAAAUUGGAACGAUACCUUGCUUAUGGCUCCUGCGCAAGGAUGACACACAAAUCGUGAAGCGUUUCAUAUUUUG
RNAcentral lists this small nuclear RNA (99 nucleotides) under Rhinolophus ferrumequinum (greater horseshoe bat). Lineage: Eukaryota; Metazoa; Chordata; Mammalia; Chiroptera; Rhinolophidae. The record is from RNAcentral.